This is a long non-coding RNA of Cryptotermes secundus, 398 nucleotides long. RefSeq lists it as uncharacterized. The transcript is spliced from 2 exons. Lineage: Eukaryota; Metazoa; Arthropoda; Insecta; Blattodea; Kalotermitidae. The record is from RefSeq and is a predicted model, not a curated record.
UUCCGCGUUCUCUGAUGAUGCUGGAUAUAUUAUGAUGGUUAUGGUUAUGAUCGUUGUCGUCCAUCGGCGAGACCUCACAAACAAGUGAGUGAUGGAAAUCCUUUCUCACAAAGAUAUGUUGUUGAAAACUGCAUGACGAUGGAAAACACCAUCUUCUGUUGUUAAUGAGGCAUGUUUACAACUCCAUUACCUAGCAGUGGAUGUCCUUCUAUUGUUGAGCCUGUUUGUUGUGGGAAAUGUGUUUACCGAGCCGUUGUCUGACAGCAGAACAACUCAGGAUCUGUUACAUGGACAGCAGCCAGUGAUAUCUGUAAAGUGGCACUGCUCAUGGGAAAACUUCAUUCAUGAAUCUACGAAUCAUAAUAUGACUUAAAUAAAUAAAGCAAAAUCUCAUUUGA